Molecule: ribosomal RNA, 519 nt
Filed under: uncultured eukaryote
Lineage: Eukaryota
Description: bacterial SSU rRNA
Rfam family: Eukaryotic small subunit ribosomal RNA
Source: RNAcentral
UUGACUCAACGCGGGAAAUCUUACCAGGUCCGGACAUAUUGAGGAUUGACAGGCGAUAGUAAUAUUAUUAUAUAAUAUUGCAUAAAAAUGAUAGUCCUUUCAUGAUUAUAUGAUAGGUGGUGCAUGGCCGUUCUUAGUUCGUGGAGUGAUUUGUCUGCUUAAUUGCGUUAACGAACGUGACCGUAACCUUUUAUUGCUAUAAAUAAUAUAUAUUAUUUAUAUUAUAAUAGCAUAAAAUUAAAGGGACCGCUGUCUAAAUUUUAGUGUUAAAAUAGAGUAAGAUUACGGCAAUAACAGGUCUGUGAUGCCCUCAGAUGUUCUGGGCUGCACACGUGCUACAAUAAUUACAUUAAUAAGUAUCUAUUAUAAUACAUAAUAUGUUUACAUAUUAUAAUAAACCUAUUUCGAAAGUAAAUGGGUAAUCAUUUAAAAAUCGUGAUUAAGGUGGGGAUAGUGUAUUGUUAAUUAUUACACUUGGCCUUAACUAGGAAUGCCUUGUACUCUUCUUUGGUUUAACAU